This 43-nucleotide ribosomal RNA is filed under the name Pestalotiopsis photiniae. RNAcentral's name for it is "partial 28S ribosomal RNA". The record is from RNAcentral. RNAcentral also lists the same sequence under 1 other name. Lineage: Eukaryota; Fungi; Ascomycota; Sordariomycetes; Amphisphaeriales; Sporocadaceae.
UUGACCUCGGAUCAGGUAGGAAUACCCGCUGAACUUAAGCAAU